GAGGGUGCGCGGAGGGGAGGAGGGUGGGUGUAGCGGCGACGGCGGUGGGUGGCGGAGCUUGGCGCGGCAGCCGUCGGUCUAGGGGCGUCAUCUCGGGGGGAAGGUUGCUGCUGCUCGUCGUCGCCUCCCUCCUACGCUUCGUGCUGCCACCGCCGCCGCCCCUCGUCGUCGCCGUCCGGUUCCACCGUGUUAUCGUCCGGAACCCGCUGCCGCUGCUCGCUGCUCGUGCCGCCGCCGCUCGCGAGGCGGUAGAGGUAGCGGUGCCGGGCGGGAGGACAGGCGUAGAGGGCGCCGACGAGGAGACCGUCCUCCUCGUCGGGCUGCCGACGGAGGUGUCGUCAUCACCUUAGUGUAGGGCGUGCGUGGCCUUCCGCUGGCCUUCCACCGCUCGCCGUCGGAGUGGUAGCUGUGUGAGCGGCGACUGCGGCCGCCGUUGCUUCCCUAGGACCGGCAGGGGCAGAGGAAGUGUAGUUUAGGCAGUUCCAGUUCACCUAACGUAGUGCCGACCACACGCCUACCCGUGCCUCGGUGCUUGCGUGUGGAGAUGCCGCUGCGACGGCAGAGCCACGAGGAGCGGAGGGUGAGGCUGCUGCUGUUGAAGCUGCACGAGUAUGUGGAGGAGCGGGAGUAGCGCGUCCGCCAGUUCUUGCGCCACCACGUCAGCGAACUCGACUUCUGCGAGCAGGACAGAUGGAGAUGGAGACGGACAAGGUGAUACGGCUCUCUAAGGUCAAAGAUUAAUCGCCAGUUCCUCACCUAUUGACGUGUUGAAACCUUUACGUACUCCAUCACCGACAAUUUUUGUAUGAGGGAGGCAAGGAUUUAUAAACAGAAAACCCUUAAAGUUUACCUGAUGGUGUAUGUCUACAUAUAUCUGUGUAAAAUCUCGCAUCUAAGUAAGUAAAACGAGGCAUACAUCAGUGAACAACUUUGGAGAUCUUUCUGUUUAUAAAUCCUUGCCUCCCUCAUCUACUGACAUUGUUUAUUACACACUCUUGUUCCUCGGUUUUUAUAACCUUUUGUUGGUAUUCUAUCUAUCACCUAAGCCACUAAACCAAUAAUACCUCCAACUACCUUGAACCAGAUGAUAGCCUUAAGACUCGGUAUUUCGUAACCUGAACCUGUUCGUUGUUUGUUAGUUUCUGCGCAUGCACUGACGAGGUACCAAGUAUCGAGAAGGUACCGUCGUUGGUCGCCAGGGUUCCGGUUCCUGUUAACAACAUUCCUUACACAAAGGUACGUGGACGUAGCUGGAAAUCCUGACCACUCUAUAAACUUCGAGAUGCGAACACACGUGAUUUUACCUCUCGUAGAGGAAAAAAAUUACCACACUAGAACUAAGAACCUAGUUUGACUAAGUGUUCUACUGCUCGCACCGUUAGAGCCGCCCGAGCGAUUUCAGCCCCCUUCCUCUCUUUGUUACCCCUUCCCUCGUAUUGUACCUACACCCCGUCCUCUCCGGCACCAGCCUCGCCGUAACGCACCCGUAUAACCCAUAAUAAACUCGACUAUGAGGUAAAAGAAUGUUCUCUACACCAGGGCAGCUACAACCGACAGCUUAAACACGACGUCAGGUACGGGUGGUGCAGGCUCAGAAGUGGGGAAGCAGUAGGUUGUGCUUGUCGUCUUGUCUCAUCGUCAGCACUAAACGGUCCAACCUCUUGACUGCGUCGAACGACGGUGUCUCACGAGCGGGAAGAAGACACGGUAUUUCGGGGAGCCGGCUUUGAACGUUUAGUUUUAACGGCUGGGAUAGUUAGAGCGACCUUGCUGCAGAUCGAGCAACACGAGGUGAGUGAGAUUGCCGUAUAGAGUAUUGAUUUCGGUACUUGUUCACGAAGUCAAUACGACCACCGUUAUGUAACGAACUCCACUGGAGUACACGUUCUAAUAGGGGUACCUCCCUCGACCGUACCUCUGUAAACGAGUGUAGUCAUGAUACUCGUCGGACCAACCCACCACUGCAAAGGCUCACCGGUUCGUUCUCGAAAAAAACCAGAUCUGGAUACGUCACCACUGAAGACGAUGUUACACGUAGUUGUGGUCUUGGUACAAGGGCUAGUACCUGCGACAACACAGGGAGUGGCCGAGAGAGGAACGGUAGUGGCUCUCCCAACACGUCCGGUGAUGAGCGCGUUGAUGAAACGUCACACCUCGUACGGUAGCUCUAUCUGGUUUUCUUCUUGUAGCGGCUGUUGUUGUGGUUGCCCCCGGAGGAACCAACGGUGGUGGCGGCGACGGCAGCAGCGGGAGGGACGGUGGGGUGUGGUGUGACGGUCUAUCCAUACACACGAAAAGGGAACGGGGGACGAAUAACGUGAGAACGGAUAUACAUUAGAGGAUAAGACAACAUUUUAAGAAAAACGAAUACUAAAGAAUAACAUCACACUUUAAAAUUAACGAACCCAACAAUGACGAUACUUUUAUAUAACGAUAUAAAUCCAAACAAUGAAAUCAGAGAGAAGGAGGGAACAAAAUAUGACCAUACUUUAAGAUAAAACGACGUUCUAGUUUCUCUAAGAAAAACUUGUGUUAGACACAGCACUCCUGACUUAAUGCACAUAGAUACUAUAGAAAAUUAAAACCAGUAGACAUAAAAUGUUCUCAAAGUCACAUAUGAAUAAAAAGUAGGAAUAGUCUUAUUCCUACGUGGAACUUAAUAUACGUCAAAAGUUCUGGUAGCAAACCUUAAAAUAUGUCAAAGAAAACUACUUUUAUAAAUCAAACAGUAUUUUAAGGUUACUUAUGUUAAGACCUACUCCUGUCUUAUUACACAUCGAUACUACCUACAAGAAUAAAGUCACUGAGUAGUAGGCCUCUAUUAUCACUCUACUUAAUAGUUAAUACCGAAAGAAAGUUAUAUAGUAUGACUUGGAAGUAGGAAACCCGUUGUGAACGUACGUUACCCGAAACCGCGAGACCUAGAAAAAUCAAAAAAGACUUGGAAGCCUUAUAUUUGGUAUAGAAUCAUCCAACCUAUAACUAC
RNAcentral lists this ribosomal RNA (2986 nucleotides) under Triticum aestivum (bread wheat). RNAcentral describes it as "partial small subunit ribosomal RNA". The record is from RNAcentral. Lineage: Eukaryota; Viridiplantae; Streptophyta; Magnoliopsida; Poales; Poaceae.